UACGUAGGUGGCAAGCGUUGUCCGGAAUUAUUGGGCGUAAAGCGCGCGCAGGCGGUCCUUUAAGUCUGAUGUGAAAGCCCACGGCUCAACCGUGGAGGGUCAUUGGAAACUGGGGGACUUGAGUGCAGAAGAGGAAAGCGGAAUUCCACGUGUAGCGGUGAAAUGCGUAGAGAUGUGGAGGAACACCAGUGGCGAAGGCGGCUUUCUGGUCUGUAACUGACGCUGAAGCACGAAAGCGUGGGGAGCAAACAGG
RNAcentral lists this ribosomal RNA (253 nucleotides) under uncultured bacterium. RNAcentral's name for it is "partial 16S ribosomal RNA". It matches the Rfam family "Bacterial small subunit ribosomal RNA", at positions 524 to 776 of the family's 1533-position model. The record is from RNAcentral.